This 497-nucleotide ribosomal RNA is filed under the name uncultured bacterium. RNAcentral describes it as "partial 16S ribosomal RNA". It matches the Rfam family "Bacterial small subunit ribosomal RNA", at positions 28 to 507 of the family's 1533-position model. The record is from RNAcentral.
GAUGAACGCUGGCGGCGUGCCUAAUACAUGCAAGUCGAGUGAACAGACGAGGAGCUUGCUCCUCUGACGUUAGCGGCGGACGGGUGAGUAACACGUGGAUAACCUACCUAUAAGACUGGGAUAACUUCGGGAAACCGGAGCUAAUACCGGAUAAUAUAUUGAACCGCAUGGUUCAAUAGUGAAAGACGGUUUUGCUGUCACUUAUAGAUGGAUUCGCGCCGCAUUAGCUAGUUGGUAAGGUAACGGCUUACCAAGGCAACGAUGCGUAGCCGACCUGAGAGGGUGAUCGGCCACACUGGAACUGAGACACGGUCCAGACUCCUACGGGAGGCAGCAGUAGGGAAUCUUCCGCAAUGGGCGAAAGCCUGACGGAGCAACGCCGCGUGAGUGAUGAAGGUCUUCGGAUCGUAAAACUCUGUUAUUAGGGAAGAACAAAUGUGUAAGUAACUAUGCACGUCUUGACGGUACCUAAUCAGAAAGCCACGGCUAACUACGUG